This 460-nucleotide ribosomal RNA is filed under the name uncultured bacterium. RNAcentral's name for it is "partial 16S ribosomal RNA". It matches the Rfam family "Bacterial small subunit ribosomal RNA", at positions 338 to 795 of the family's 1533-position model. The record is from RNAcentral.
CCUACGGGAGGCAGCAGUGAGGAAUAUUGGUCAAUGGACGGAAGUCUGAACCAGCCAUGCCGCGUGCAGGAAGACGGCUCUAUGAGUUGUAACCUGCUUUUGUACAAGGGUAAACCUGAAUACGUGUAUUUAGCUGAAAGUACUGUACUCAUAAGGUUCGGCUCACUCCGUUACAGCCGCCGCGGUAAGACGGAGGAUACAAGCGUUAUCCGGAUUUAUUGGACUUAAAGGGUGUGUAGGCGGAUUGAUAAGAUAGAGGUGAAAUGUCCGAGCUUAACUCGGGAACUGCCUAUAAUACUGUUGAGCUAGAGAGUAGAUGAGGUAGGCGGAAUGUAUGGUGUAGCGGUGAAAUGCGUAGAGAUCAUACAGAACACCGAUGGCGAAGGCAGCUUACCAAUCUAUAACUGACGUUGAGGCACGAAAGCGUGGGGAGCAAACAGGAUUAGAUACCCCUGUAGUC